CUUGUUUGCUCAACGGUAGUGCGUCUGACUCCAGAUCAGAGGAUCGCGUGUUCAAAUCACGUCAGG
Molecule: non-coding RNA, 66 nt
Organism: Mesocestoides corti
Lineage: Eukaryota; Metazoa; Platyhelminthes; Cestoda; Cyclophyllidea; Mesocestoididae
Source: Rfam